UACGUAGGGUGCAAGCGUUGUCCGGAAUUACUGGGCGUAAAGCGCGCGCAGGCGGUUUUUCAAGUCAGUGGUGAAAGCCCGGAGCUCAACUCCGGAACUGCCAUUGAAACUGUAAAACUUGAGGAUGAGAGAGGUGAGUGGAAUUCCCAGUGUAGAGGUGAAAUUCGUAGAUAUUGGGAAGAACACCGGUGGCGAAGGCGGCUCACUGGCUCAUAUCUGACGCUCAGGCGCGACAGCGUGGGGAUCAAACAGG
RNAcentral lists this ribosomal RNA (253 nucleotides) under uncultured bacterium. Its description in RNAcentral is "partial 16S ribosomal RNA". It matches the Rfam family "Bacterial small subunit ribosomal RNA", at positions 524 to 776 of the family's 1533-position model. The record is from RNAcentral.